AUUGCCUGCAAGUGAAUACAUAGCUUGUUGGCGGCAGACGCGGGGAACUGAAACAUCUCAGUACCCGCAGGAAGAGAAAGAAAACUCGAUUCCCAUAGUAGCGGCGAGCGAAGCGGGAAGAGCCCAAACCGAGAAGCUUGCUUCUCGGGGUUGUAGGACUGGACAUUGGAGUUACCAAAGUUCGACGUAGUCGAAGUCAGCUGGAAAGCUGCGCCAUAGAAGGUGAA
RNAcentral lists this ribosomal RNA (227 nucleotides) under Lacticaseibacillus rhamnosus. Its description in RNAcentral is "partial 23S ribosomal RNA". It matches the Rfam family "Bacterial large subunit ribosomal RNA", at positions 147 to 368 of the family's 2925-position model. Lineage: Bacteria; Bacillati; Bacillota; Bacilli; Lactobacillales; Lactobacillaceae. The record is from RNAcentral.